CUGGCUAGCAGCUGCCCAAGACAACACUCCCUCUUCUCAAGACUUUUCCUGGGGCCUCCCUUUCAUUACACGUGACUGGUUGAGCUCCUCACUGCCUGCCAUCUUGGUCACAAAUCCAGCCUGGACUUUGCCCCUGAACUCGACUCAUCUAUCUAACUGCCUCUUAGAUAGACAUGAGCAACCAACCGCAUUUCAUCCAUCAG
Molecule: long non-coding RNA, 203 nt
Filed under: Homo sapiens (human)
Lineage: Eukaryota; Metazoa; Chordata; Mammalia; Primates; Hominidae
Description: HSALNT0262489
Source: RNAcentral